CCGUUGCCAUAACACAUUCAAGUUCCAGCUUUUGCCGUUGAAAUCCGUAGCUCUUUCAAAGUUGUUUUCGACAUCAUCGAGAUAUUCCCGACUCUGUCUGGGGGACGAGCUGAUCUAGGCAGUGUCUGCUUUGCUUAUUUAACGGCUGAAGACUGCCCCCCUCCGGAAGAUGACAAUACAUGGAUAUCUAAUAAGAUACAGGACAUGCAAGAUCUCUUUGGGAUUCAUUACUAUUCACUAUAUUUACUAGUCACUAUUUUGAAUUAAAAACAAGUUCUAAAAAUG
Lepisosteus oculatus (spotted gar) is the source of this 285-nucleotide long non-coding RNA. RefSeq lists it as uncharacterized. NCBI's taxonomy places the organism in Eukaryota, Metazoa, Chordata, Actinopteri, Semionotiformes, Lepisosteidae. The record is from RefSeq and is a predicted model, not a curated record.